AUUGAACGCUGGCGGCAUGCUUUACACAUGCAAGUCGAACGGCAGCGCGGGCUUCGGCCUGGCGGCGAGUGGCGAACGGGUGAGUAAUGCAUCGGAACGUGCCCAGUAGUGGGGGGUAGCGCGGCGAAAUCCGGAUUAAUACCGCAUACGACCUGAGGGAUCAACCGGGGGACCGCACGGCCUCGCGCUGUUGGAGCGGCCGAUGUCGGAUUAGCUAGUCGGUGGGGUAAAGGCUUACCAAGGCGACGAUCCGUAACUGGUCUGAGAGGACGACUAGCCACACUGGGACUGAGACACGGCCCAGACUCCUACGGGAGGCAGCAGUGGGGAAUUUUGGACAAUGGGGGAGACCCUAAUCCAGCCAUGCCGCGGGCGGGAAGAAGGCCUUAGGGUUGUAAACCGAUUUUGUUCGGGAAGAAAUCCUCUGGGCUAAUACCCCAGGGGGAUGACGGUACCGGAAGAAUAAGCACCGGCUAACUACGUG
RNAcentral lists this ribosomal RNA (484 nucleotides) under uncultured bacterium. RNAcentral's name for it is "partial 16S ribosomal RNA". It matches the Rfam family "Bacterial small subunit ribosomal RNA", at positions 29 to 507 of the family's 1533-position model. The record is from RNAcentral.